This 459-nucleotide ribosomal RNA is filed under the name uncultured bacterium. RNAcentral's name for it is "partial 16S ribosomal RNA". It matches the Rfam family "Bacterial small subunit ribosomal RNA", at positions 338 to 795 of the family's 1533-position model. The record is from RNAcentral.
CCUACGGUGGGCAGCAGUGAGGAAUAUUGGUCAAUGGGCGGGAGCCUGAACCAGCCAAGUCGCGUGAAGGAAGAAGGUACUGCGUAUUGUAAACCUCUUUUGUCAGGGAAUAAAGGCGGGGACUAGUCCCCUGAUGAAGGUACCUGACGAAUAAGCAUCGGCUAACUCCGUGCCAGCAGCCGCGGUAAUACGGAGGAUCCGAGCGUUAUCCGGAUUUAUUGGGUUUAAGGGGUGCGCAGGGGGCUUGUUAAGUCAGCGGUAAAGGCUGGGGGUUCAACCCCGGAGUGCCGUUGAAACUGGCGGUCUUGAGUUGAAGAGAAGUACGCGGAAUGCGCGGUGUAGCGGUGAAAUGCUUAGAUAUCGCGCAGAACCCCGAUUGCGAAGGCAGCGUACCGACUCCACACUGACGCUGAGGCACGAAAGCGUGGGUAUCGAACAGGAUUAGAUACCCUGGUAGUC